Molecule: ribosomal RNA, 666 nt
Filed under: uncultured fungus
Lineage: Eukaryota; Fungi
Description: eukaryotic LSU rRNA
Rfam family: 5.8S ribosomal RNA (bases 151-304)
Source: RNAcentral
GGUUGUUGCUGGUUCUCUUGGGAGCAUGUGCACACCUUGUCAUCUUUAUAUCUCCACCUGUGCACCCUUUGUAGACCUUCUCAGGUCUAUGUUGCUUCUUCUUUUACCCCGAUGUAUGUUAAUAGAAUGUUGUGACUAUAAAAUCUAUACUACUUUCAACAACGGAUCUCUUGGCUCUCGCAUCGAUGAACAACGCAACGAAAUGCGAUAAGUAAUGUGAAUUGAAUAAUUCGAUGAAUCAUCUAAUCUUUGAACGCACCUUGCCCUCCUUGGUAUUCCGAGGAGCAUGCCUGUUUGAGUGUCAUUAAUAUAUAUCAACCUCUCUCUUGUUGAGUGGUUUGGAUGUGGGGGGUUUUGCUGGCCUGUUCACCUCCUCUGAAAUACAUUAACAAAACAACCUGUUCAUUGGUGUGAUAACUAUCUACGCUAUUGAAUGGGAGGGGCAGUUCAUCUUUCUAACAUUCCUUGGGACAACUUAUCAUUUAUGUGACCUCAAAUCAGGUAAGACUACCCGCUGAACUUAAUCAUAUCAAUAAGCAGAAGAAAAGAAACUAACAAGGAUUCCCCUAUUAACUGCGAGUGAAGCGGGAAAAGCUCAAAUUUAAAAUCUGGCGCUCUUCUGGCUGUCCGAGUUGUAAUCAAGAGAAGUGUUAUCCGCGCUGGACG